RNAcentral lists this ribosomal RNA (497 nucleotides) under uncultured bacterium. RNAcentral describes it as "partial 16S ribosomal RNA". It matches the Rfam family "Bacterial small subunit ribosomal RNA", at positions 28 to 507 of the family's 1533-position model. The record is from RNAcentral.
GACGAACGCUGGCGGCGUGCCUAAUACAUGCAAGUUGAGCGCUGAAGGUUGGUACUUGUACCAACUGGAUGAGCAGCGAACGGGUGAGUAACGCGUGGGGAAUCUGCCUUUGAGCGGGGGACAACAUUUGGAAACGAAUGCUAAUACCGCAUAAAAACUUUAAACACAAGUUUUAAGUUUGAAAGAUGCAAUUGCAUCACUCAAAGAUGAUCCCGCGUUGUAUUAGCUAGUUGGUGAGGUAAAGGCUCACCAAGGCGAUGAUACAUAGCCGACCUGAGAGGGUGAUCGGCCACAUUGGGACUGAGACACGGCCCAAACUCCUACGGGAGGCAGCAGUAGGGAAUCUUCGGCAAUGGACGAAAGUCUGACCGAGCAACGCCGCGUGAGUGAAGAAGGUUUUCGGAUCGUAAAACUCUGUUGGUAGAGAAGAACGUUGGUGAGAGUGGAAAGCUCAUCAAGUGACGGUAACUACCCAGAAAGGGACGGCUAACUGCGUG